AUGGCUGGUGGAGGCGGCAGCGGUCGUGGGACUCCUUUCAAAUAUCUUGGAAUCUCGGUUGAAGGGAAUCACCGAAAUCUGCAUUUGUGGAAGGGUGUGAUCAACGUGGUGAGAGGAAAAUUGGCAUCGUGGAAUAAUAGACAUUUGUCAAUCGGAGGUCGUGUUGUACUAAAAUCAAUUUUGAGCUCAAUUCUAGUUUAUCAGUCGUCAAUCUUCAAAGCUUCCGUAGACAUUAUUUCUAAAUUGAAAUCAUUGUUCAAGAACUUUUUGUGGGGUGGGGGAUUGGAGAGAAGAAAGGUGAAUUGGGUGCAAUGGGAGAAAAUAUGUCGGAAAAAAAAGAUGGGAGUUUGA
This is a non-coding RNA of Vicia faba (fava bean), 351 nucleotides long. NCBI's taxonomy places the organism in Eukaryota, Viridiplantae, Streptophyta, Magnoliopsida, Fabales, Fabaceae. The record is from the annotation of a GenBank genome assembly.